CUACGGGUCCGCUCCAGUGAGGAAUAUUGCACAAUGGAGGAAACUCUGAUGCAGCAACGCCGCGUGGAGGAUGACGCAUUUCGGUGUGUAAACUCCUUUUAUAUGUCAAGAAAAUGACGGUAGCAUAUGAAUAAGCUCCGGCUAACUCCGUGCCAGCAGCCGCGGUAAUACGGAGGGAGCAAGCGUUACUCGGAAUCACUGGGCGUAAAGGACGCGUAGGCGGGAUAGAAAGUCAGGUGUGAAAUCCUAUGGCUCAACCAUAGAACUGCACUUGAAACUUCUAACCUAGAGUAUGGGAGGGGAAGAUGGAAUUAGUGGUGUAGGGGUAAAAUCCGUAGAUAUCACUAGGAAUACCAAAAGCGAAGGCGAUCUUCUGGAACAAUACUGACGCUAAGGCGUGAAAGCGUGGGGAGCAAACAGGAUUAGAUACCCCCGUAGUC
This 440-nucleotide ribosomal RNA is filed under the name uncultured bacterium. RNAcentral's name for it is "partial 16S ribosomal RNA". It matches the Rfam family "Bacterial small subunit ribosomal RNA", at positions 339 to 795 of the family's 1533-position model. The record is from RNAcentral.